GGAGGAGUCGCAUAGCGGUCUAGUGCACCUGUCUUGAAAACAGGCGUGGGGCAACCCACCGUGAGUUCGAAUCUCACCUCCUCCGCCG
RNAcentral lists this transfer RNA (88 nucleotides) under Candidatus Kaiserbacteria bacterium RIFCSPHIGHO2_01_FULL_48_10. Its description in RNAcentral is "tRNA-Ser". It matches the Rfam family "tRNA". From Rfam's summary of the family: Transfer RNA (tRNA) molecules are approximately 80 nucleotides in length. Their secondary structure includes four short double-helical elements and three loops (D, anti-codon, and T loops). Lineage: Bacteria; Candidatus Kaiseribacteriota. The record is from RNAcentral.